This is a non-coding RNA of Arachis ipaensis, 205 nucleotides long. Lineage: Eukaryota; Viridiplantae; Streptophyta; Magnoliopsida; Fabales; Fabaceae. The record is from RefSeq and is a predicted model, not a curated record.
AAAGGUUCCACUAUGGAAUUAGGUGUCUCUUGUACCUGGGUUUAUCCAAAAGCUGCUGAAUCAUUGGCUGAGCCUGAGGAAUAUCCAAAUUUAUUUGAAGACUGGCAAGUUUCACUUGCUGUUGAAUCUAAGGCUGCAGAAACAAGGAAUGUUUACCCUCCUGCGGAACAGUACAUCAGCCAUGCAGAUAAAUCACAAAAGCUUA